RNAcentral lists this long non-coding RNA (1042 nucleotides) under Bos indicus x Bos taurus (hybrid cattle). Its description in RNAcentral is "lncRNA (ENSBIXG00005007472.1)". The record is from RNAcentral. Lineage: Eukaryota; Metazoa; Chordata; Mammalia; Artiodactyla; Bovidae.
AUGUAUGGGCUGCCCACCAUACACGAGAUGCGUGAGGUGAGUUCACCAACAAAACAGAAGAAUGACAAGGGCCACCCACACUGCCUGAAGAAGCCUGAAGAGGUGCUGACAUGGAAUUCAAAAUUCAGACUUUUGACCAGGGCAGGACAUCUGCCUGAGGAACUUCUGGGAAGAGUGAUGCUUAGGAAACCAGUGAGAGCUUAAAUAAGUGGGAGAAAAUUAGAAAGCGGGGCAAAAAAGAUGAGAGGAGAUUUACAGCUUUCCUACAGACUGUGAGCUGAAGCCCAUGAAACUGGCCUCAUUACAGAUGGAAUCAUUUCUUUUGGGAAAGCUGCUUGGCCUUGUUGAGCUUGGCCUGGUUUUCUCCAGUAAGAUUUUUCUCUUUCUGAAAAAAAAAAAAGGCAAUACAGUAAAAAGAAGGAAACUAUAUAGUAAGAAUGCCAAAGAAUGUCUGAGUGUAUGAAUCAUGGGACAGAGAAUUCCUGAAUUUAUCUUUUCCCAACGUUAUUUUUAUCAAGAAGAAAGAGAUUCCUCUCUUAAGCGCCUAUAUCUACAAUUCCGUAAAUUACUUGCUGAAGAAGUUCUCGUAUGUGUUUCAUUUUCUAAUGUGGAGUCACUCUGAAUACCUGUUUCUGUCUCUGUCAGCUCUUUUCUCUCACACCCAUGCAGCCAUGGGAAGAAUUUCAACCGGCCCAGCAAAUACACCAGGAUAUUAUGCCCUAUGCACUUUUGAGGAAUGGAGAUUGUAAAUACAACGCAGAAAAUGGCUCGUGUUCUCCUGGAUGUUGCGGCCCAUGUGGUUGCAGUGGUGUACCUGAGUGGCCUGGUCUCCCGCCUUCCUGAAGUGGCCAAGCAGGAAAUGAGUAGAGGACAACUGUGACUCCAUACUCCUUAGAGGGUGCUGCCAUUCUCAAGCAGCCAUUAGCACCACCAGGAAACAGGACUAGGAGAUGGAGGUGGCUGCAAGGUUGCCAAGAAAGGGAAUCAUACACACAAGAUCAGGACUGCUUGAUCCAUGGAAUAAAAAAAUCGACUAAUAGCA